GACGAACGCUGGCGGCGUGCUUAACACAUGCAAGUCGAACGAAGAGCGAUGGAAGCUUGCUUCUAUCAAUCUUAGUGGCGAACGGGUGAGUAACGCGUAAUCAACCUGUCCUUCAGAGGGGGACAACAGUUGGAAACGACUGCUAAUACCGCAUACGAUCUAAUCUCGGCAUCGAGGAUAGAUGAAAGGUGGCCUCUACAUGUAAGCUAUCACUGAAGGAGGGGAUUGCGUCUGAUUAGCUAGUUGGAGGGGUAACGGCCCACCAAGGCGAUGAUCAGUAGCCGGUCUGAGAGGAUGAACGGCCACAUUGGGACUGAGACACGGCCCAGACUCCUACGGGAGGCAGCAGUGGGGAAUCUUCCGCAAUGGACGAAAGUCUGACGGAGCAACGCCGCGUGAGUGAUGACGGCCUUCGGGUUGUAAAGCUCUGUUAAUCGGGACGAAAGGCCUUCUUGCGAAUAGGGAGAAGGAUUGACGGUACCGGAAGAGAAAGCCACGGCUAACUACGUG
This 510-nucleotide ribosomal RNA is filed under the name uncultured bacterium. Its description in RNAcentral is "partial 16S ribosomal RNA". It matches the Rfam family "Bacterial small subunit ribosomal RNA", at positions 28 to 507 of the family's 1533-position model. The record is from RNAcentral.